RNAcentral lists this ribosomal RNA (497 nucleotides) under uncultured bacterium. RNAcentral's name for it is "partial 16S ribosomal RNA". It matches the Rfam family "Bacterial small subunit ribosomal RNA", at positions 28 to 507 of the family's 1533-position model. The record is from RNAcentral.
GACGAACGCUGGCGGCGUGCCUAAUACAUGCAAGUUGAGCGAUGAAGAUUGGUGCUUGCACCAAUUUGAAGAGCAGCGAACGGGUGAGUAACGCGUGGGGAAUCUGCCUUUGAGCGGGGGACAACAUUUGGAAACGAAUGCUAAUACCGCAUAACAACUUUAAACAUAAGUUUUAAGUUUGAAAGAUGCAAUUGCAUCACUCAAAGAUGAUCCCGCGUUGUAUUAGCUAGUUGGUGAGGUAAAGGCUCACCAAGGCGAUGAUACAUAGCCGACCUGAGAGGGUGAUCGGCCACAUUGGGACUGAGACACGGCCCAAACUCCUACGGGAGGCAGCAGUAGGGAAUCUUCGGCAAUGGACGAAAGUCUGACCGAGCAACGCCGCGGGAGUGAAGAAGGUUGUCGGAUCGUAAAACUCUGUUGGUAGAGAAGAACGUUGGUGAGAGUGGAAAGCUCAUCAAGUGACGGUAACUACCCAGAAAGGGACGGCUAACUACGUG